GCUGGCGGCGUGCCUAACACAUGCAAGUCGAACGAGAAAGGGGAGCAAUCCCUGAGUAAAGUGGCGACCGGGUGAGUAACACGUGACUAACCUGCCUUCGAGUGGGGGAUAACCUCGGGAAACCGGGGCUAAUACCGCAUAAUGCCGAGAGGUUAAAGGAGCAAUUCGCUUGAAGAGGGGGUCGCGGCUGAUUAGCUAGUUGGCGGGGUAACGGCCCACCAAGGCGAUGAUCGGUAGCCGGCCUGAGAGGGCGCACGGCCACACUGGAACUGAAACACGGUCCAGACUCCUACGGGAGGCAGCAGUGGGGAAUUUUGCGCAAUGGGGGAAACCCUGACGCAGCAACGCCGCGUGGAGGAUGAAGUCCCUUGGGACGUAAACUCCUUUCGACCGGGACGAUAAUGACGGUACCGGUGGAAGAAGCCCCGGCUAACUUCGUGCCAGCAGCCGCGGUAAUACGAGGGGGGCAAGCGUUGUUCGGAAUUAUUGGGCGUAAAGGGCGCGUANGCGGUGCGGUAAGUCACCUGUGAAACCUCCGGGCUUAACUCGGAGCCUGCAGGCGAAACUGCCGUGCUG
RNAcentral lists this ribosomal RNA (576 nucleotides) under uncultured bacterium. RNAcentral describes it as "bacterial SSU rRNA". It matches the Rfam family "Bacterial small subunit ribosomal RNA", at positions 35 to 643 of the family's 1533-position model. The record is from RNAcentral.